This 5578-nucleotide long non-coding RNA is filed under the name Mus musculus (house mouse). RNAcentral describes it as "long non-coding RNA chr1:91975986-91981564". The record is from RNAcentral. Lineage: Eukaryota; Metazoa; Chordata; Mammalia; Rodentia; Muridae.
AGGCCACAGAUGUUGUGAGUAACAUCCUCCUUAGAUGCCACCUAGCAGGACAUACUGUGGCUGGAGAAGAGCAACAGAAGCAGAUGUGAGGUACCCUGUGGCAAGAACCCAGUACAGACUUGGGAGGGUCCAGAAGAAGUUCUCAGAAGCUGCCUCUCUGGAAGCUUAGGGAAGUCUCAAAUAGAAAGGAUCUUUGGGACAUACCAUCAGUCUGUGGGGGACAGUACUGGUGGUGCCAAGCUCCCCAGCUAAUUUUUAUGAAGCUACCACAUGGCUGUGAAAUCAAGACUUCCCCAGUUAUGUUCUGAAAGCCUAACCUGCUCAGGGAAUCUCAUUCCUAAAACCUCAAGACUCGAAGCAGAGAGGAGGAAGCCAGGGAGACACUGACCACAGGGCACUGCUUCUUACCAGAUUGAUGAGCUCUGUGGGACACGGGAUGCUGAUGGUGGCACUUGUCCUGUAUCUUAAGCAUGCUGAGUACGAACAUACAUACAAUGAGGUGGCUGAGUGAAGUCCUAGACAUGUGAACUGGCAUGGCUGAGGUUGUCAUAUUGUACAUAUGUAGAUCAGCACACUGCACACUGUAGACAGCCUCAAUAAAGCUAGGCGAAUUGAGCCCAUAACACCUUAGUGAGCUGUCAAGCCUCUCCCCAGCUGAUGGCAAAAGACUAGGUAGGCAGGCUUCAUAAAAAAUGCACUGUUAAGUAUUUGCUCCCCUUCAUAGUUUGUGAUGUGCUAAUGGCACCUUACUCCUGGGUAUCCCAAACUCCUAACUCUGAUUUUGGGAAGGGGAAGGGGAAGGGCAACUGACACCAGUCUGGCAAGCACCAGGGGCAGUGUAACUGGUAACAGAAUGAGGUGAACUGGGUGUCUGAUGUCAGGUUUGCUGAGACAGGUCAGGGUCAGGGCUAUGGCAGGGAUGGAAGUGACAGAGUAUCUUUAGAUGACAUAAAGGAAAUUCCCUGGGGAAGCUGGUUUCACCUGCUAGGGAGUUAUAGCAGAGGGACAGCCAGGACCCAAGAGGAAAGAUGGGGCUGGGAACAACCUAGGGCCUCUGGAACAGGCUAUCAUUGCCCAGGAGCUCAUAGGUGUAAAAGAGGUGGCAACAGGGCUAUGGAUGCAGAGACAGACCACGGGGCUCAGAACAUGGCAGAGGGCUCAAAGAACUUCCUUUAGGCCCUGGGUAGAGAAUGGCAGGGAAGUGUAAGCUGCAGUCGGGCUAGAAAAGUUGAAGUAUAAGCACUGGGAUGCAGACAGCAGGUCAGGACCAGGGAUGGCUACCUUCAGGAGGCAUAAGUAGAGGCAGAGGUAGAAAGGCGGGCCUAGAAGGAUAGGUGCUCAAGCAGUCAGAGCACGACAGAGGCCCUCUCUUCCUCCCUUCCUCUGUCUGUCUGUCUGUCUCUGUCUUUCCCUGUCUCUGUCUGUCUCAGUCUCUGUCUGUCUGUCUGUCUCUCUCUGUCUUUCCCUGUCUCUGUCUGUCUAUCUGUCUCUCUGUCUGUCUGUCUGUCUGUCUGUCUGUCUGUCUCUCUCUCUCUCUCUCUCUCUCUCUCUCUCACACACACACACACACACACACACACACACACAGGAGCGGGUCAAGAAAGGCAGAAAGGUAUCACCGCUGUAUGGCUGACCUGCCCAAGGUGACUCAGCUCUAAGAGGUUAUAAGUGCCCAGGGAUAGUGGCCCAUGAUGGACCUGAACUCAGGUCCCUCCCUACUCUAGCUAGGGUGGCACUCAGAAAACAAAGCAACUGUUCAAAGUAGGCCAUGACAGGUAGAAGCUGUCAUAGGAAGGGUGCAGGGUGUCUUCUGAGAGGAGGAGGCAGUGUAAGUGUGCUGUGGGCAGACAAGCUCCAUUCCUAACAUGUUUAUUACUCAACACUGGAGAAAGAUAUCAGAAGAGCAUGCAUGCCAUUCACCUCUCAUCUACAGCUUGGCUAAAGGAGAAACAGACAGAGGAGCCUUUCCUCCCAAUACCUUUAUGUGAACAGCUGAGCCUCAUGAUGCUCACAACAACAGUCUCUGUCUUAUGGCCCCACAGAUAUCCACUAACAACUUCUGUGAUCCUUUCUGGCUUGAACACGUCCUGUUUUCUGUUUGGUGUCAUGUCUCUUCAGUGUCCUUGUACCACCUAUGAUUCUGAGUACCUUCUAUUUUUCUUAAGGUUACAGUUCAAAGUAUCCCUCUGGACAACAUUCAACAUUCCUAAAGGCUGGAGUCUGCCUAGUUAAUCUAGGCAGGAAUCCUGAAAGUGACACGUAAGGGAAAGCAAUGUCCCCUUAGAACCCUGGGCUCCUGUUAGCUGGCCUGUCACCUCAAUGUCGACUGUCCAUGGCUGAGGAGGGUACCUCUGGGGAAGUUUGGGGGGUGGGAGGGAGUGCUCAAAUUAGUACAUGGUUGUGGCUUCUCCUAGCUGUGCCUGAUGCUGGGGAGGCCCAGACUUCCCUGUUUUCACUCCAAGUUGGGUACGGAUUGCUGACAGUAUGAGAGCUCACUGAUGCUACUACACAGGCAGGGCUGCAGCUUUGGCACGAUAUAGGCAGACAGAAACUCCAGAACAGGGAGCAGGGAACAGGGAGGCUCUCAAGGGGCCACAGCUUGGCUAGGCCUCCCUCUAGAGGAUGUCUAUCAGGGAUGCUGCCAUGGCAACAAGGGCCACUGAGAGCCCUGCCAAUGAUGCAGAACAGGCCAUGGCCUGCAGGGGCUGGGCCACUCUGCUUAGUACUGAUGCAGGUGCUGGUGCAACUAGACUUCAUGAGCUAUAGUCACACAGGAGUCUCUGUCCCCUUUGAACGUAUCUUUGCUUCUUUGUGGCCACAGAGAUGGGAUCUUCAAGCAGAGCUGGCUUAGGGAAGCAAACCUGGCCUCAGGCAACAUAACAAGAGAGGCCAGUAGGGAGGCAAGCAGUAGCUUGCCAACAUGUCAGUUCCUGUUGUCCAGAGGCCUCUUGACACCAGGACCGUGUUUUAUCAAGGGAUGAACACACACACACUACCAUAUCCAGAACAGCGGGAGUAAAACAUCAGACUAGAGUUCAGUGCCAGGACCCCACUGGCAAGCACAGGCAUUUAAAACUAUUGGAUGCUCAUAGUAAACCACCCAUAGCAGUCCAAGUUCUCAUAUAUAAAAGAGAGUGAGGCUCAGUGAGGCCAACGCUUGGCCUUCACAAAGAGCAAGUGAUCUUGUAGACCCACCAUUGCUGCAAGAACUGCUUUCAGCUAUGGGGAAGAUGUUCUAGGUAUAAUUUCUGACUUUUCAAAACAAGGCUGUGGUGAGGUGGAUAAGGAGGCAGCAAUACAAAAGGGUGCUUCCCUGUCAGGAUGGGCACUACACUGCUGCCCUCAACAGCCUUCUUUCCCUGGGCAAUUUCUCCCCUAGCAUGCUUUUAUGAAGUACAUUAAUGUGGACACAGCACUCAUGUCAGGAGCUGACACCCAGGUGGGUACACUGGCUACCAUUCCAAUCCCAAGAAAUCCAGAGGAGAGCCAGUUCAGAAGCCCUGUUUUGUCCCUUGGAAAAAUGGCAACAGUCACAAAUGACUGCUGAAAACACAAUGCUAGGAUGAGUAAUUAACUUCUGUCACAUCUUUGGAGCACUGGCACUUUAAGAUGGAGGCUGAAUGCACAGUGGGUAGGGAGCCCAGCCGUGGUCCCCACUGGGUCAAGCAGGAAGUAGAUGGCCCUCAGGUGUGAGCCUCUCACAGAGCAGGGCAGGAACACUGGUGCCAGGCAGCACAGAGAACAUCACUGUCUUCCUGGGCGUCCCAGGAAAACAUUGUAUAAACGUUUCAAUCAACUGUCAUUUGCUAUCACAAAUCAAUCACGUAACAAACCCCAGUGAGAUUACCCAGCUUCUAAAGUCAUCUUCAAGAAUGUGCCACAUGAGAAUGGGUGUUUCCUGUCUUCAAACCUCCUACCACACCACUCAGGUAGUGACACAGUGAAAUUAAUAAGCCUAGGCUGGCAUUAGAGGGAUGGAUAUGAAAGUGCUUUGACACCUGGGAGUACAGACACUUGGCAGGAACCUGUCUCGCUCCCAGCAAAUGCCUUUCUGUGUAAAUGAUGGGAUGUCUGGAGCCCCCAACUUCUAAGAUGCUCAGAAUGUUGGGCAUGAGGGCUGUGGGCUGAGGGACUGAUAUCACUGUGCAUGACAGGCAGGAGAGGCCUGGCUGAGCCUGCGCUAGGUAUGUGGUCUGCAGCAACUUUCUUGGGAAACCAACUUGAUCCUGGCCCUCUCAGCUUGCAGCAGAGAUUACAGUGGGAUGGGUGUGGAUGGGAGACACCGACUCACUGUGGGGCUCAGCAGGCCCCUAUGGAUUGGAAACAGGUGCCACUCUGAGCAUGCAUUCAACUUCCAUGACAGUCUCUCAUCCCUGAUCCACCUCCAUAGGGAAGCCACAGAAAGCAAAGGACCAGUGAUGGCAUGCCUUCAUCUCAGUCUUUUCUCAUUUUUAGUGUCCUGUGGUCAAUCAACAUCUAAAAAUAUUAAAUAGAAAGUUCUAGAAAUAGAUAAAUCCUGAGUUUUCAGCUGCACACUGUUCUGCUCAGCAUCAUGAAGCCACUCCCUCCCGCCUAGGACAGGCACCCAUCCUCGUGCACAUGCUGGAUGGGCUGCUCUCCUAAGCCGGUGAGGAGCCACCUUCAUUCUCUGCUUGACUGUUGUUCACAGGGUGCUUCCCUGCCAGUUUCAGGAACCGACUGAGUGUCCUGGACUGUAUCCCAUCCCAGGUAGGGAGAAUAAAUUAAACCCAUAAGCCCUAAAAUUCACAUCUUUAAACUGAACAGUUCAGUAGUUUACAGACCUGUAUAACCAUCACUAUAACCUAACUUGGGAACAUUUUCAUUGCUCCUAAACAUAAAUGUUACACCCACAGACAGCUGUUUCCAUUUCCCUACAAGUUGCAGCACUUGACAUCACUAACUUAAUUCAUGUCUCUAAGGCAGUGGUUCUCAACCUGUGAGCCGCAUCCUUUUGAGGAUCGAAUGAUCCUUUCAUCACAGGGCUUGAAUAUUACAUAUCCCGUGUAUCAUAUAUUUACAUUAAACUUGUAAGAGUAGCAACGUGACAGUUAUGAAAUAGCUAUGAACUAACUUUAUGGUUGGGUGUCACUGUAACACAAGGAGCUGUAUUAGAGGGUCACAGCAUCAGGAAGGUUGAGAAGCCCUGCUCCGAGGCCUAAGCUGGUCACUUCCUGUGAGUGAAACAUAGCAGGAGGCGAUUGUGAUAGGCUUACUUCCCUGACAGCCAGGUUUUGGAGCCUCUAUAUGCUGCAUGACCCCAAGACAACGGUAGGUGUGUUCUGUCACCUGUCACCACAGGAUAAACCCUGGAGAUGCUCCAUCCACAGUUUGGCUGCUAUGAGCAGUACAGAAGAGGAUUGUGGACAGGUUUCUGUGAGACAUUUCCAUUUCUCUUGGAGAAAAGCUGUUGGGCUGUUUGCAGAACUGUCACUGAGCUGAUAUGGAAGGUAUCUGACUUACAAACCUGAAGGGGACACACUAAACUCUCUGUCCCUGCUCGCCAGCAGCACAGUACUAACUUUUCCUGUAGAUGGGGCUGAGAGACUCUGACAAUCUG